AACGAACGCUGGCGGCAUGCCUAACACAUGCAAGUCGAACGAGACCUUCGGGUUUAGUGGCGCACGGGUGCGUAACGCGUGGGAACCUGCCUUUAGGUUCGGAAUAACUCAGAGAAAUUUGAGCUAAUACCGGAUGAUGUCUUCGGACCAAAGAUUUAUCGCCUUUAGAUGGGCCCGCGUUGGAUUAGCUAGUUGGUGGGGUAAAGGCCUAUCAAGGGGACGAUCCAUAGCUGGUCUGAGAGGAUGGUCAGCCACACUGGGACUGAGACACGGCCCAGACUCCUGCGGGAGGCGGCAGUGGGGAAUAUUGGACAAUGGGCGAAAGCCUGAUCCAGCAAUGCCGCGUGAGUGAUGAAGGCCUUAGGGUUGUAAAGCUCUUUUACCCGAGGUGAUAAUGACAGUAACGGGAGAAUAAGCACCGGCUAACUCCGUG
RNAcentral lists this ribosomal RNA (433 nucleotides) under uncultured bacterium. RNAcentral describes it as "partial 16S ribosomal RNA". It matches the Rfam family "Bacterial small subunit ribosomal RNA", at positions 29 to 507 of the family's 1533-position model. The record is from RNAcentral.